GACGAACGCUGGCGGCGUGCUUAACACAUGCUAGUCGAACGGAAAGGCCCUGCUUUUGUGGGGUGCUCGAGUGGCGAACGGGUGAGUAACACGUGAGUAACCUGCCCUUGACUUUGGGAUAACUUCAGGAAACUGGGGCUAAUACCGGAUAGGAGCUCCUGCUGCAUGGUGGGGGUUGGAAAGUUUCGGCGGUUGGGGAUGGACUCGCGGCUUAUCAGCUUGUUGGUGGGGUAGUGGCUUACCAAGGCUUUGACGGGUAGCCGGCCUGAGAGGGUGACCGGCCACAUUGGGACUGAGAUACGGCCCAGACUCCUACGGGAGGCAGCAGUGGGGAAUAUUGCACAAUGGGCGGAAGCCUGAUGCAGCAACGCCGCGUGCGGGAUGACGGCCUUCGGGUUGUAAACCGCUUUCGCCUGUGACGAAGCGUGAGUGACGGUAAUGGGUAAAGAAGCACCGGCUAACUACGUGCCAGCAGCCGCGGUGAUACGUAGGGUGCGAGCGUUGUCCGGAUUUAUUGGGCGUAAAGGGCUCGUAGGUGGUUGAUCGCGUCGGAAGUGUAAUCUUGGGGCUUAACCCUGAGCGUGCUUUCGAUACGGGUUGACUUGAGGAAGGUAGGGGAGAAUGGAAUUCCUGGUGGAGCGGUGGAAUGCGCAGAUAUCAGGAGGAACACCAGUGGCGAAGGCGGUUCUCUGGGCCUUUCCUGACGCUGAGGAGCGAAAGCGUGGGGAGCGAACAGGCUUAGAUACCCUGGUAGUCCACGCUGUAAACGGUGGGUACUAGGUGUGGGGUCCGUUCCACGGGUUCCGUGCCGUAGCUAACGCUUUAAGUACCCCGCCUGGGGAGUACGGCCGCAAGGCUAAAACUCAAAGGAAUUGACGGGGCCCCGCACAAGCGGCGGAGCAUGCGGAUUAAUUCGAUGCAACGCGUAGAACCUUACCCGGGUUUGACAUGGAUCGGGAGUGCUCAGAGAUGGGUGUGCCUCUUUUGGGGUCGGUUCACAGGUGGUGCAUGCCUGUCGUCAGCUCGUGUCGUGAGAUGUUGGGUUAAGUCCCGCAACGAGCGCAACCCUUGUUCACUGUUGCCAGCACGUUAUGGUGGGGACUCAGUGGAGACCGCCGGGGUCAACUCGGAGGAAGGUGGGGAUGACGUCAAGUCAUCAUGCCCCUUAUGUCCAGGGCUUCACGCAUGCUACAAUGGCUGGUACAGAGAGUGGCGAGCCUGUGAGGGUGAGCGAAUCUCGGAAAGCCGGUCUCAGUUCGGAUUGGGGUCUGCAACUCGACCUCAUGAAGUCGGAGUCGCUAGUAAUCGCAGAUCAGCAACGCUGCGGUGAAUACGUUCCCGGG
This 1343-nucleotide ribosomal RNA is filed under the name uncultured bacterium. RNAcentral describes it as "16S ribosomal RNA". It matches the Rfam family "Bacterial small subunit ribosomal RNA", at positions 28 to 1378 of the family's 1533-position model. The record is from RNAcentral.